AUAGAUACCCGGUAGUCCACGCCGUAAACGGUGGGCACUAGAUGUGGGGCUCAUUCCAUGAGUUCCGCGUCGCAGCUAACGCAUUAAGUGCCCCGCCUGGGGAGUACGGCCGCAAGGCUAAAACUCAAAGGAAUUGACGGGGGCCCGCACAAGCGGCGGAGCAUGCGGAUUAAUUCGAUGCAACGCGAAGAACCUUACCAAGGCUUGACAUAUACGGUCUAUCCCUAGAGAUAGGGAGUGCUUCGGCGCCGUAUACAGGUGGUGCAUGGUUGUCGUCAGCUCGUGUCGUGAGAUGUUGGGUUAAGUCCCGCAACGAGCGCAACCCUCGUUCUAUGUUGCCAGCACGUAAUGGUGGGGACUCAUAGGAGACUGCCGGGGUCAACUCGGAGGAAGGUGGGGAUGGCGUCAAAUCAUCAUGCCCCUUAUGUCUUGGGCUUCACGCAUGCUACAAUGGCCGGUACAAAGGGCUGCAAUACCGUAAGGUGGAGCGAAUCCCAAAAGCCGGUCUCAGUUCGGA
This 517-nucleotide ribosomal RNA is filed under the name uncultured bacterium. Its description in RNAcentral is "bacterial SSU rRNA". It matches the Rfam family "Bacterial small subunit ribosomal RNA", at positions 778 to 1297 of the family's 1533-position model. The record is from RNAcentral.